This 265-nucleotide ribosomal RNA is filed under the name uncultured bacterium. Its description in RNAcentral is "partial 16S ribosomal RNA". It matches the Rfam family "Bacterial small subunit ribosomal RNA", at positions 793 to 1055 of the family's 1533-position model. The record is from RNAcentral.
GUCCACGCCGUAAACGAUGAAUGCCAGCCGUUGGAGAGCAUGCUCUUCGGUGGCGCAGCUAACGCAUUAAGCAUUCCGCCUGGGGAGUACGAUCGCAAGAUUAAAACUCAAAGGAAUUGACGGGGGCCCCGCACAAGCGGUGGAGCAUGUGGUUUAAUUCGAAGCAACGCGAAGAACCUUACCAGCCCUUGACAUGGCAGGACGGUUUCCAGAGAUGGAUUCCUUCCCUUCGGGGACCUGCACACAGGUGCUGCAUGGCUGUCGU